RNAcentral lists this microRNA precursor (143 nucleotides) under Myotis lucifugus (little brown bat). Its description in RNAcentral is "miRNA (ENSMLUG00000020373.2)". The stretch from base 45 to 96 matches the Rfam family "mir-1302 microRNA precursor family". The record is from RNAcentral. Lineage: Eukaryota; Metazoa; Chordata; Mammalia; Chiroptera; Vespertilionidae.
CAGGAUGCCCGGUUAAGUUAGAAUUUCAGUAAAAAGCAAAUAAUGUUUUAAUGUAAGUAUGUCCAAUGCAAUAUUUGGGACAUACUUAUAUUAAAAAAUAUCACUUGUUUAUCUGAAAUUCACAUUUAACUAGUCCUCCUGUA